UACGUAGGUGGCAAGCGUUGUCCGGAAUUAUUGGGCGUAAAGCGCGCGCAGGCGGUCCUUUAAGUCUGAUGUGAAAGCCCACGGCUCAACCGUGGAGGGUCAUUGGAAACUGGGGGACUUGAGUGCAGAAGAGGAGAGUGGAAUUCCACGUGUAGCAGUGAAAUGCGUAGAGAUGUGGAGGAACACCAGUGGCGAAGGCGACUCUCUGGUCUGUAACUGACGCUGAGGCGCGAAAGCGUGGGGAGCAAACAGG
This 253-nucleotide ribosomal RNA is filed under the name uncultured bacterium. RNAcentral's name for it is "partial 16S ribosomal RNA". It matches the Rfam family "Bacterial small subunit ribosomal RNA", at positions 524 to 776 of the family's 1533-position model. The record is from RNAcentral.